This 407-nucleotide small RNA is filed under the name Malus domestica (apple). Its description in RNAcentral is "sRNA MD13G0147000". Lineage: Eukaryota; Viridiplantae; Streptophyta; Magnoliopsida; Rosales; Rosaceae. The record is from RNAcentral.
AUGCUCCUUGCUUUCCCCAACCUAGAAUCCUCAUCCUUUCCCCCAAAUGAGAAAUCUGAAAUCCACAAUCCAAAACUCACUCAUAGUAGCCUCUGCCUUGCCUCAUUCCUCAUAUCCUGAUGGUUCAUUCUCUCCAUUCGAUUCGAUUUUGGGCAUAAUAGUGGGAGUUGAGUAAUGGAGUUGCUGCCAUGCAAUGGAGUAUAGCAGGAGGCAGAAGACCUUUCACUCCAUCUCAAUGGAUGGAGCUAUAACACCAGGUCUUGAUCUACAAAUACAUCCCAAUGUGCCUAUUUCUUCCACUCUGCUCAUCCCAAUCAAGAAGGCCCUUAAUUCUGCAUGAUUUUUUGACAUUUUCGAACGGAAUUCCCAGGCCCAAUUCAUGUAAUUUCUUCAUUUUACUCAAAUGA